Molecule: ribosomal RNA, 433 nt
Filed under: uncultured bacterium
Lineage: Bacteria
Description: partial 16S ribosomal RNA
Rfam family: Bacterial small subunit ribosomal RNA
Source: RNAcentral
AGCGAACGCUGGCGGCAGGCUUAACACAUGCAAGUCGAGCGGGCACUUCGGUGUCAGCGGCAGACGGGUGAGUAACACGUGGGAACGUACCCUUCGGUUCGGAAUAACGCUGGGAAACUAGCGCUAAUACCGGAUACGCCCUUUUGGGGAAAGGUUUACUGCCGAAGGAUCGGCCCGCGUCUGAUUAGCUAGUUGGUGGGGUAAUGGCCUACCAAGGCGACGAUCAGUAGCUGGUCUGAGAGGAUUAUCAGCCACACUGGGACUGAGACACGGCCCAGACUCCUACGGGAGGCAGCAGUGGGGAAUAUUGGACAAUGGGCGCAAGCCUGAUCCAGCCAUGCCGCGUGAGUGAUGAAGGCCUUAGGGUUGUAAAGCUCUUUUGUCCGGGACGAUAAUGACGGUACCGGAAGAAUAAGCCCCGGCUAACUUCGUG